GACGAACGCUGGCGGCGUGCUUAACACAUGCAAGUCGAGCGGAAAGGCCCUUUCGGGGGUACUCGAGCGGCGAACGGGUGAGUAACACGUGAGUAAUCUGCCUUGGCUUUGGGAUAACUACCGGAAACGGUGGCUAAUACCGGAUACGACGUACUCAGGCAUCUGAUGUGCGUGGAAAGUCUUUUCGGCCAGGGAUGUGCUCGCGGCCUAUCAGCUUGUUGGUGGGGUAAUGGCCUACCAAGGCUUCGACGGGUAGCCGGCCUGAGAGGGUGACCGGCCACACUGGGACUGAGACACGGCCCAGACUCCUACGGGAGGCAGCAGUGGGGAAUAUUGGACAAUGGGCGGAAGCCUGAUCCAGCAACGCCGCGUGAGGGAUGACGGCCUCGGUUGU
Molecule: ribosomal RNA, 394 nt
Filed under: uncultured bacterium
Lineage: Bacteria
Description: bacterial SSU rRNA
Rfam family: Bacterial small subunit ribosomal RNA
Source: RNAcentral